Petromyzon marinus (sea lamprey) is the source of this 289-nucleotide non-coding RNA. Lineage: Eukaryota; Metazoa; Chordata; Hyperoartia; Petromyzontiformes; Petromyzontidae. The record is from RefSeq and is a predicted model, not a curated record.
GCGCCCGUUUAAACAACGUUGCCCGUCCGGCACCACGAGAAGCGUGCAGAGUCUCUCGGAUUCCCCUCCUCCGCGUCAUGCCGCUGAUGCCGAGUGCUGUGGGGUGGUUCUGGUGGCGGUGAUUUUCCCUCGCCGGCACCCGGAGGAGCGCUGCUGCUGAUGAUGAUGGCGGUGCUGAUGCUGCUCAUGACUGCACGGUGCCUUGCAAGGACAUCUCAGCAGCGUCAUCAGCAGCAUCGGCAUCAGCAGCAGCAUCAGCGGCGGCAGCAGCAGCAGCAGCAGCUUCAUC